UGGGGAAUUGUUCACAAUGGGCGAAAGCCUGAUGACGCAACGCCGCGUGGAGGAUGAAGGUCUUCGGAUUGUAAACUCCUGUUGCCCGGGACGAAAAGCUCUGACCUAACACGUCAGAGUCUGACGGUACCGGGUGAGGAAGCCCCGGCUAACUCUGUGCCAGCAGCCGCGGUAAUACAGAGGGGGCAAGCGUUGUUCGGAAUUACUGGGCGUAAAGGGCGCGUAGGCGGCCUUCUAAGUCAGACGUGAAAUCCCCGGGCUCAACCCGGGAACUGCGUCUGAUACUGGAGGGCUUGAAUCCGGGAGAGGGAUGUGGAAUUCCAGGUGUAGCGGUGAAAUGCGUAGAUAUCUGGAGGAACACCGGUGGCGAAGGCGGCAUCCUGGACCGGUAUUGACGCUGAGGCGCGAAAGCCAGGGGAGCAAACGGGAUUAGAUACCCAAGUAGUCCCUGAGCGGGCUGGCAAGGCGCAU
RNAcentral lists this ribosomal RNA (471 nucleotides) under uncultured bacterium. Its description in RNAcentral is "bacterial SSU rRNA". It matches the Rfam family "Bacterial small subunit ribosomal RNA", at positions 355 to 825 of the family's 1533-position model. The record is from RNAcentral.